AGAGUUUGAUUAUGGCGUCAGGACGAACGGCUGGCGGCGUGCUUAACACAUGCAAGUUGAACGGUAUGACAUGGAAGCUUGCUGAAGUGUCAUAUAGUAGCGGACGGGUGAGUAAUGCAUGAGAAGCUGCCAUUGGGAGGGGGACAACAGUUGGAAACGGCUGCUAAUACCCCGUAUGCCGGAGGGUGAAAGGGAGUAAUCCGCCCGAUGAGGUGCUCAUGUCCUAUCAGCUGGUUGGUGGGGUAACGGCCUACCAAGGCGACGACGGGUAGCCGGCCUGAGAGGGUGAACGGCCACACUGGAACUGAGAUACGGUCCAGACUCCUACGGGAGGCAGCAGUGGGGAAUAUUUGGGCAAUGGGGGCAACCCUGACCCAGCGACGCCGCGUGGGGGAAGACGGCCUUCGGGUUGUAAACCUCUUUUGUACGGGAAGAAGGAAGUGACGGUACUGUACGAAUAAGUCCCGGCUAACUACGUGCCAGCCGCCGC
Molecule: ribosomal RNA, 490 nt
Filed under: uncultured bacterium
Lineage: Bacteria
Description: bacterial SSU rRNA
Rfam family: Bacterial small subunit ribosomal RNA
Source: RNAcentral